Molecule: ribosomal RNA, 369 nt
Filed under: uncultured organism
Description: partial 16S ribosomal RNA
Rfam family: Bacterial small subunit ribosomal RNA
Source: RNAcentral
GAAGGUGGCAAGCGUUGUCCGGAUUCACUGGGCGUACAGGGAGCGUAGGCGGUUGGGUAAGCCCUCCGUGAAAUCUCCGGGCCUAACCCGGAAAGUGCAGAGGGGACUGCUCGGCUUGAGGACGGGAGAGGAGCGCGGAAUUCCCGGUGUAGCGGUGAAAUGCGUAGAGAUCGGGAGGAAGGCCGGUGGCGAAGGCGGCGCUCUGGAACGUUUCUGACGCUGAGGCUCGAAAGCGUGGGGAGCAAACAGGAUUAGAUACCCUGGUAGUCCACGCCUUAAACUAUGGAUACUAAGUGUCGGCGGGUUACCCGCCCGGUGCCGCAGCUAACGCAGUAAGUAUCCCGCCUGGGAAGUACGGCCGCAAGGUUG